AGACAGACAGCUGGCUUACAGGGCCACCUGAAGACGUUCCAGGGCUCCACAGGCCACUGUCUUCUGGAGGGGAACGGAUCGACUGCCGGUGCGCCCAGCCAAAUUCAACUCCUGAGUCCUCAGUCUCUAGUCCCGGGAAGGAUCGAGGCCAUCAAGCUACAGAUGGUCUUACAAAUGGAACCCCAAGUGAACUCAACUAACAACUUCCACCAAGGACCCCUGGACCAACCCGUUGGCCCUUUGACUGGCCUAAAGAGUUCCCUUCUGAAGGACACUACAAGUGCAGGGCCCCUUCUUCGCCCCUAUCCAGCAGUAAGUGGCUAGAGAGGUCAUCACCCAAUUCCCAACAGCAGUUGUGGUGUCCUGUUUAGAUGGGGGAUUGAGAGGUGAAGCCAGCUGGACUUCCUGGGUCAAGUGGGGACUUGGAGAACUUUUCUGUCUAGCUAGAGGAUUGUAAAUGCACCAAUCAGUGCUCUGUGUCUAGCUAAAGGAUUGUAAAUGCACCAAUCAGCACUCUGUAAAAACGCAGCAAUCAGCACUCUGUAACUAGCUAAAGGGUUGUAAAUGCACCAAUCAGCACUCUGUAAAAUGGAACAAUCUGCAGGAUGUGGGCAAAUAAUGGAAUAAAAGCUGGCCACCCCAGUCAGCAGCAGCAGGGAACCGCUCAGAUACCCUUCCACACCGUGGAAACUUUGUUCUUACCCUCUUGACGAAAAAUCUUGCUGCUGCUCACUCUUUGGGUCCACACCACCUUUAAGAGCUACAACGAUCACCACGACAGUCUGCGGCUUCAUUCUUGAAGUCAGCGACACCACAAACCCACCAGAAGGGAGAAACUCCAGACACAUCUGAAGGAACAAACUCCAGACACAACAUCUUUAACAGCUGUAACACACACUGUGAAGGUCCACGGCUUCAUUCUUGAAGCCAGCGAGACCACGAACCCUCUGGAAGGAACCAACUCUGGACACAGCAGGACGUGAGACUUCUACCUGCUCACUCAGAAUCAUUUCCGCACCAACCAUGGCCACGUUUGUGGAGCUCAGUACAAAAGCCAAGAUGCCCAUUGUGGGCCUGGGCACUUGGAGGUCUCUUCUCGGCAAAGUGAAAGAAGCGGUGAAGGUGGCCAUUGAUGCAGAAUAUCGCCACAUUGACUGUGCCUAUUUCUAUGAGAAUCAACAUGAGGUGGGAGAAGCCAUCCAAGAGAAGAUCCAAGAGAAGGCUGUGAUGCGGGAGGACCUGUUCAUCGUCAGCAAGGUGUGGCCCACUUUCUUUGAGAGACCCCUUGUGAGGAAAGCCUUUGAGAAGACCCUCAAGGACCUGAAGCUGAGCUAUCUGGACGUCUAUCUUAUUCACUGGCCACAGGGAUUCAAGGUUUGAGUGACUCCCUUUCUCAGCCUCUAGUUUCUGAGCUGUUGCAGGAAUUCAGGGACCCCCAACAGAGAGACUGGCUGAAGCCAUGGCAGAAGAACAUAAAUUGUGAAGAUUUCAUGGACAUUUCUUAAUUCCCCACAUUAAUGUUUUUAUAAUUUCUUACGCCUGUCUUUACUGCAAUCUCUGAACAUAAAUUGUGAAGAUUUCAUGAACAUUUAUCACUUCCCCAAUCAGUACUUUUGUGAUUUCCUAUGCCUGUCUUUACUUAAAUCUCUUAAUCCCAUCAUCUUCGUAAGCUGAGGAUGAAUGUCGCCUCAGGACCCUGUGAUGAUUGCAUUAACUGCACAAAUUGUUUGUAGAGCAUGUGUGUUUGAACAAUAUCAAAUAUGGGCACCUUAAGAACAGGAUAACAGCGAUGUUCAGGGAACAAGGGAGAUAACCUUAAAGUCUGGCUGCCUGUGGGCCGGGCAGCACAGAGCCAUAUUUCUCUUCUUUCAAAAGAAAAUAGGAGAAAUAUUGCUGAAUUCUUUUUCUCAGCAAGGAACAACCCUGAGAAAGAGAAUGCGCUCCUAGGGGUAGGCCUCUAAAAUGGCUGCUCUGGGGACGGCUGUCUUUUACAGUUGUAGAUAAGGGAUGAAAUAAGCCCCGGACUCCUGUUGUGCUCCCAGGCUUAUUAGGACGAGGAAAUUCCCACCUAAUAAAUUUUGGUCAGACCGAUUGUGUGCUCUCAAACCCUGUCUCCUGAUAAGACGUUAUCAAUGACAAUGCAUGCCCGAAACUUCAUUAGCAAUUUUAAUUUUGCCCCGGUCCUGUGAUCUUGCCCUGCCUCCAUUUGCCUUGUGAUAUUUUAUUACCUUGUGAAGUAGGUCAUCUCUGUGAUCCACACCCUAUUUGUAUACUCCCUCCCCUUUUGAAAAUCACUAAUAAAAACUUGCUGGUUUUGUA
Molecule: RNA transcript, 2319 nt
Organism: Homo sapiens (human)
Lineage: Eukaryota; Metazoa; Chordata; Mammalia; Primates; Hominidae
Gene: AKR1B15
Gene name: aldo-keto reductase family 1 member B15
Exons: 4
Source: RefSeq, marked validated